AACGAACGCUGGCGGCAUGCCUAACACAUGCAAGUCGAACGAGACCUUCGGGUCUAGUGGCGCACGGGUGCGUAACGCGUGGGAACCUGCCCUUAGGUUCGGAAUAACUCCCCGAAAGGGGUGCUAAUACCGGAUAAUGUCUUCGGACCAAAGAUUUAUCGCCUUUGGAUGGGCCCGCGUUGGAUUAGCUAGUUGGUAGGGUAAAAGCCUACCAAGGCGGCGAUCCAUAGCUGGUCUGAGAGGAUGAUCAGCCACACUGGGACUGAGACACGGCCCAGACUCCUACGGGAGGCAGCAGUGGGGAAUAUUGGACAAUGGGCGAAAGCCUGAUCCAGCAAUGCCGCGUGAGUGAUGAAGGCCUUAGGGUUGUAAAGCUCUUUUACCCGGGAUGAUAAUGACAGUACCGGGAGAAUAAGCUCCGGCUAACUCCGUG
This 433-nucleotide ribosomal RNA is filed under the name uncultured bacterium. RNAcentral describes it as "partial 16S ribosomal RNA". It matches the Rfam family "Bacterial small subunit ribosomal RNA", at positions 29 to 507 of the family's 1533-position model. The record is from RNAcentral.